Molecule: long non-coding RNA, 320 nt
Filed under: Gallus gallus (chicken)
Lineage: Eukaryota; Metazoa; Chordata; Aves; Galliformes; Phasianidae
Source: RNAcentral
CCUGGCUUCACAUUUGAGUCUGUUCUGUGGGUGAUAAUAACUGGAAUUCUAAUUAUGAUUCCUUCCUGGUUCUUCAAAUCGGAAACUGUGGCAGUUUCCUUUGGCUUCGUUUCCAAUGGUGCUUUCCAGAGCUUGCUGCUAAAUGGCCACCAAGAAGGAGAUUCGAGUUCAGUCAACAGCCUGUCUGCCACGUCCAUAUCCCCUUCGAUCUUGUUGAGUCCUCUCAUGAUGUUAUCAAACUGCUCGCCCUGGUAAUGCAGCACUUUUGCUGUGUCUUCCAGCCGUUUCUGAGACCCAGUCAAUAACCCAGUCAGUUCCUU